AACGAACGCUGGCGGCAUGCCUAACACAUGCAAGUCGAACGGGAUCCUAGCUUGCUAGGUGAGAGUGGCGGACGGGUGAGUAACACGUGGGAAUCUGCCUUUUGGUUCGGGAUAACCGCGGGAAACUGCGGCUAAUACCGAAUGCCCUCGAGAGAGGAAAGAUUUAUCGCCAGAAGAGGAGCCCGCGUCCGAUUAGGUAGUUGGUGGGGUAAAGGCCUACCAAGCCGACGAUCGGUAGCUGGUCUGAGAGGAUGAUCAGCCACACUGGGACUGAGAUACGGCCCAGACUCCUACGGGAGGCAGCAGUGGGGAAUAUUGGACAAUGGGGGGCCAACCCGUGAUCCAGCCAAUGCCGCGUGAGUGAUG
RNAcentral lists this ribosomal RNA (366 nucleotides) under uncultured bacterium. RNAcentral's name for it is "bacterial SSU rRNA". It matches the Rfam family "Bacterial small subunit ribosomal RNA", at positions 29 to 410 of the family's 1533-position model. The record is from RNAcentral.